GGGAUGCAUAAUGCAUGAGUUUCACAGCUCCCCGCGCUCAACUGGGAUUGCAAAGCUGCGUAUGGGUAUCCGGUUUACCACAAAAUAUCCAUUAGCAAUGAACACAAGGCAAGGUACUUUGGCAGGUCUGACUUGCUCUCCGUCAGUUUCAAAAGGAAUGAGCUUCAGCCCAGGGCCCAUCUUGCUGCAGCCGGCUCGUUCCUCAGGAGCUGUAAUCCCUUCCUUUGACUCUCCCCCAGCUGGACUGCCCCAGGAUGACUCACUGUCUUCACUGCCCAAAGAAACAAAAUAUUUUGUUAUGCUGUUUCAGGGUCAAAACCUACAGAAGGAUGUAUUGGCGCUCACCAGUUACCACAUUGCAGAAAUCCCCGUGUCCCUUUGGGAAGUCGGGGUGGGGACGAGCAAAGUGGUCCUCAGGGAAAUCCCUGCAGAACAUCGUGCUGCUGCAGGCAGCUCAGGAAAUUGAGGAAAUAUUCAGAUACGUUGGAAGUGGUCCUGCUGUGCCAGAAUGAGAAAUUGCCCACGUGGUUCUGUGACAUUGUUCUUCAGCUGCAGUUCUUGGGAGAUCGCCGCAAUUGUUAACAUCCAAACAAAAACAGUCUAAUGAAAGUGUUUUAAUCUGCUGAUCAGCUAUUCAGAGCGAAAGGCAUAGCCGUGCUAGGUGUCUUUGGAGUGUGGAAAUUAAUGCGGCAAUGAGCAGGCAUCAACAAGGAUGAAACCUCCUCUAUGAACUGUGAAGCUGACGGGAAGCUGAUGGGACAUCUGCUCUUCCUCCUUGGCACCACAGGGAUUUGACCAGAUAACCUAAGUCUUGUUGCUGGGGAGCAGCAGGAGCAGACUGUCAUCAACAAGCGUUUAUUAGAGUUUGAAGAUUGAAGGAGAUUUGUCUCAGGUGUCACAGUAAACACGGGAAGAAGGACGAGGAGAAGUGGAUGUGGUUGCCUACAGAUCUUUAAAGAGAGGAUGUGAUCCAGCCGUGGGACAGUUUUCAGCUGUAACAAAUGGCAAUUAAUGGUUAUAUUGGGUAAGACAAAUUAGCCUAGCCAAUAUGCUCAUAAUAAAACUAAGGGAAAAGUGUUCACAGAAUAAGACAAGGUUCAUUAUAUUAGAUGUAUUUAGGUUCUACAAUGUGUUUAGAAAGACAAAAUAUGUUUCUCUGUGUUUUUUUCUGCCUAAACAUUUUAUCAAAAGUAUACAAACUCUCCCAGAUUCCUACAUGGCUGUGAAUAAAUUGGUGGUGGAAAGAGUCUCUGGGUAAAGCUGCAGCUUGCCCCAGCACACGCGGAGGGUUGGAACUGGCUGAAGCUGUUGAAAACUACAGCAUGGAGUAAAAAUUUUCUCUGAAAAGAACAAACCAGCUAACAGUUCUAUUACUGAUGCACUACGGCUGUGAAAUAGUGCUAUAUCAAUCUCAAGUAAAUUCACAUUAUUGUGUGUCAGAGUUUGUAGGUGAUGCUAGAGGAACCAAAAAUAAUUAGUCUUUGCUGCGAUUUCAUACACAUGUCAAAGUAUAGCACAUUGUACAGAACUUUUAAUUAAGAAAGCUAACUUUUGCUAAGCACUUCUUUUUUGUCUCAUUUCUUUGUCAUGUUAUUCCUUUUUGUAUUGCCAAAAAAACGCUGGACUGUUGCAUCAAAUGGCCAGACAAUAUCACUUUACCCAGAGGCACAUGCCACAUGAAGGAAGAUAUUUUUCUUUUACUGAAAUGAAUCUUUAAGAAAUAUAUUCUGAGGCAAGUGAAAAGAAAGGACACAAAAUGCAAGAAAUUGUCCAUACUGAGAAUGUAGAUUUUAUUCACGUUUCGUCUAUGUAAUACCUGAAGUCCUUGUACUGCUGCUGUUUGUAGUAAAUUAUCUAUCACCUCUUUUCUGACUCUUUUUACUACUAUCUCCUCAGUUAUCUGUUCUUUUUCCCCUACUCAUCAUUUUCCUUCCUCUUCAUAAAAUGUUAUAAAAGAGAAAAUUACUAAGUUUGAGGAACAGAUGAGAGGAAAAUUAUGUGCUUCCUAUCUGUACGAUCAGGCAUUGCUUGUGAUUGUAUCUAUUGUGGAUGAGGCAAAUAACCGCGGGGCCUGAGUAAUAGCUUCAACUGGGUGAAUUAUAUUUGAGGAAUGGAAGUAUCAGAAUCGCAGAAUAUCCUGAGUUGGAAGGGACCCACAAGGAUCAUCGAGUCCAACUCCUGGCUCCACACAGGACUACAUGAAAAUAAAAUGGUAUGUCUGAGAAUGAAUACUGUGCCAGUCAUUCUGAAAUUAUUCACGUAUUGUGCUCGAUUAAUGCUCUUGAAUAUUCUGGAUAUGACAGAAGAAUUCCAGGGGAAGAUCCCAUAAAAAAUUCAGGGAGCUGUUUGUGUUUCUUGGCUCUUGGAAAAAAGGAAGUUAACUAGAAUACUUCGGUGGAAUAUGAAGAAGCCAGGUUUGGCUCACUUUCUUUAGACCAGGAAAUCAAAUUGUUCCUGUUCCACCGGUCAGUGUCUGAAACACCUGGCUGUUGGUUACCCUGGUGAGGUGAGGGCUGGCUGGGGUCUCUCCUGGUGGUUCCCAUCCUCCUCUCACAACUGAAUUCCACUCAUGCAGGAGCUGGUGCCCUAACAGAUGUCACAGUGGUACACCUGGUCAGGCAUACCAACAGCAAAUACACGUUUUGCCUUCUGUGGUCAAGAAUUUGCACCUGUUUCACUAAAAGGGAAAAGAAUAGCAGUGUUUACACAUACCUUGUUAUCAACCAGGAAAUUGAGAAGAAAUGUCCAGAAGUAAAAUGCUUUUGUAGCCAUUGGUGGUUAUUGCACUGAUUAACUCCCAAAGACCAAGAGCAUCCAACCCUCUGGUUUAGUUUUCAUGAUUCUUUGCAAGACCACAGAGUGGUCUAAGAUGUGAACAGAAAUGUGUAAUUAUUUUCUUUUUAGAGAAACACUAAAUGUUGUACAAGAGUU
Oxyura jamaicensis (ruddy duck) is the source of this 2931-nucleotide long non-coding RNA. RefSeq lists it as uncharacterized. Lineage: Eukaryota; Metazoa; Chordata; Aves; Anseriformes; Anatidae. The record is from RefSeq and is a predicted model, not a curated record. The transcript has 6 exons.